UGGGGAAUAUUGCGCAAUGGGCGAAAGCCUGACGCAGCGACGCCGCGUGAGGGAUGAAGGUUUUCGGAUCGUAAACCUCUGUCAGAAGGGAAGAAACCGCACUGUGCUAAUCAGCAGUGCCUUGACGGUACCUUCAAAGGAAGCACCGGCUAACUCCGUGCCAGCAGCCGCGGUAAUACGGAGGGUGCAAGCGUUAAUCGGAAUUACUGGGCGUAAAGCGCACGUAGGCUGCUUUGUAAGUCAGGGGUGAAAUCCCACGGCUCAACCGUGGAACUGCCUUUGAUACUGCUUAGCUUGAAUCCGGGAGGGGGUGGCGGAAUUCCAGGUGUAGGAGUGAAAUCCGUAGAUAUCUGGAGGAACAUCAGUGGCGAAGGCGGCCACCUGGACCGGUAUUGACGCUGAGGUGCGAAAGCGUGGGGAGCAAACAGG
This 429-nucleotide ribosomal RNA is filed under the name Fusobacteriota bacterium. RNAcentral describes it as "Fusobacteria bacterium partial 16S ribosomal RNA". It matches the Rfam family "Bacterial small subunit ribosomal RNA", at positions 355 to 776 of the family's 1533-position model. Lineage: Bacteria; Fusobacteriati; Fusobacteriota. The record is from RNAcentral.